AGUAAAGGUCAUUUGUUUGUAGAUUAAGAACUAUACUUACCUAUAAUAUUUUUACAAUGACGAACUGUAAUUUGGGUAUUUUUUUCCGUAGGCACAUUUCCGCGUUGUAAAAAAAUUAACGAUCAUAGAACACUCUAAAUAACAACCAGGCACUGCGUAUUUUUUUUAUAGUUGAUUUCAGCAGAUGGAAAAAAAAUUUAUGAAUCAUAAUGUAUUCGAUGGGUACUAAAACAUUGAAUAAUUCAAACCAUGAACUAUAGUUUGCAUUUUUACACAGUCAUGGUUCAUGGUGAAAAUCAAACCUUAAAGAAAUAAAAUUUCAUAUGCAAUUCUCCACAGAAUGUUGUAUUUCAUCUGUCCAUUUUUAGAAUAAGAAAUAUUCAAAUAUGUAUGUAAAUGAAUCGAA
Long non-coding RNA from Acyrthosiphon pisum (pea aphid), 406 nucleotides. RefSeq lists it as uncharacterized. Lineage: Eukaryota; Metazoa; Arthropoda; Insecta; Hemiptera; Aphididae. The transcript has 2 exons. The record is from RefSeq and is a predicted model, not a curated record.